UACGGAGGAUGCACGCGUUAUCCGGAAUGAUUGGGCGUAAAGCGUCCGCAGGUGGCUAUGUAAGUCUGCUGUUAAAGAGUGAGGCUCAACCUCAUAAAAGCAGUGGAAACUACAGGGCUAGAGUGCGUUCGGGGCAGAGGGAAUUCCUGGUGUAGCGGUGAAAUGCGUAGAGAUCAGGAAGAACACCGGUGGCGAAAGCGCUCUGCUAGGCCGCAACUGACACUCAUGGACGAAAGCUAGGGGAGCGAAUGGG
This 253-nucleotide ribosomal RNA is filed under the name uncultured bacterium. RNAcentral's name for it is "partial 16S ribosomal RNA". It matches the Rfam family "Bacterial small subunit ribosomal RNA", at positions 524 to 776 of the family's 1533-position model. The record is from RNAcentral.